GUGGGGAAUCUUGCGCAAUGGGCGAAAGCCUGACGCAGCCAUGCCGCGUGAAUGAUGAAGGUCUUAGGAUUGUAAAAUUCUUUCACCGGGGACGAUAAUGACGGUACCCGGAGAAGAAGCUCCGGCUAACUUCGUGCCAGCAGCCGCGGUAAUACGAAGGGGGCUAGCGUUGCUCGGAAUUACUGGGCGUAAAGGGCGCGUAGGCGGACAGCUUAGUCAGAGGUGAAAGCCCAGGGCUCAACCUUGGAAUUGCCUUUGAUACUGGCUGUCUUGAGUUUGGGAGAGGUGAGUGGAACUCCGAGUGUAGAGGUGAAAUUCGUAGAUAUUCGGAAGAACACCAGUGGCGAAGGCGUCUCACUGGCCCAAUACUGACGCUGAGGCGCGAAAGCGUGGGGAGCAAACAGGAUUAGAAACCCUUGUAGUCC
This 425-nucleotide ribosomal RNA is filed under the name uncultured bacterium. Its description in RNAcentral is "partial 16S ribosomal RNA". It matches the Rfam family "Bacterial small subunit ribosomal RNA", at positions 354 to 796 of the family's 1533-position model. The record is from RNAcentral.